CAAUGCCGCGUGAGCGAAGAAGGUCUUCGGAUUGUAAAGCUCUGUUGACCGGGGAAAAAGGAAGGAAAGAGGAAAUGCUUUUCUUUGGAUGGUACCCGGCCAGAAAGUCACGGCUAACUACGUGCC
This 126-nucleotide ribosomal RNA is filed under the name uncultured bacterium. RNAcentral describes it as "partial 16S ribosomal RNA". It matches the Rfam family "Bacterial small subunit ribosomal RNA", at positions 392 to 509 of the family's 1533-position model. The record is from RNAcentral.